Ramazzottius varieornatus is the source of this 72-nucleotide transfer RNA. It matches the Rfam family "tRNA". Rfam says of the family: Transfer RNA (tRNA) molecules are approximately 80 nucleotides in length. Their secondary structure includes four short double-helical elements and three loops (D, anti-codon, and T loops). The record is from Rfam. NCBI's taxonomy places the organism in Eukaryota, Metazoa, Tardigrada, Eutardigrada, Parachela, Ramazzottiidae.
GGGGAUGUAGCUCAGUGGUAGAGCGCGGUCUUCGCAUGGCUGAGGUCUGGGGUUCAAUCCCCCACUUCUCCA